CUAGACGGGAUGAAUAUUCUAAGGCGCUCGGGUGAGCCGUGGAGAAGGAACUAGGCAAAUUGACGCUGUAACUUCGGGAUAAAGCGUACCGCAGCGAUGCGGUCACAGUAAAAUGGUUCAACCAACUGUUUAACAAAAACACAGGGCCCUGCAAAAUCGAAAGAUGACGUAUAGAGCCUGAAACCUGCCCGGUGCCGGAAGGUUAAGGAAGGGUGUUCGGACGCAAGUCCAAAGCUCCUGACUGAAGCCCCGGUAAACGGCGGCCGUAACUAUAACGGUCCUAAGGUAGCGAAAUUCCUUGUCGGGUAAGUUCCGACCUGCACGAAUGGUCUAAUGAGUUGAACACUGUCUCCUCCACGAGCCCGGUGAAAUUGUAGUAUCGGUGAAGAUGCCGGUUACCCGCCACGGGACGGAAAGACCCCGUGAACCUUCACUACAACUUUGCAUUGAUUUUGAGCAACCGAUGUGUAGGAUAGUUGGGAGACUUCGAAGCAGUGUCGCUAGGCAUUGUGGAGUCAACGUUGAAAUACCAACCUUCGUUUGCUUAGAACCUAACCCAUUUUUGGGAACAGUGCAUGGUGGGUAGUUUGACUGGGGUGGUCGCCUCCUAAAAAGUAACGGAGGCUUGCAAAGGUACCCUCAGUACGGUUGGUAAUCGUACAUAGAGCGCAUUAGUAUAAGGGUGCUUGACUGUGAGGCAUACAGGCCGAGCAGGUGCGAAAGCAGGCUAAAGUGAUCCGGUGGUUCUGUAUGGAAGGGCCAUCGCUCAAAGGAUAAAAGGUACUCCGGAUAACAGGCUGAUCUUACCCAAGAGCUCAUAUCGACGGUAAGGUUUGGCACCUCGAUGUCGGUUCGUCACAUCCUGGGGCUGGAGAAGGUCCCAAGGGUUCGGCUGUUCGCCGAUUAAAGUGGCACGUGAACUGGGUUCAGAACGUCGCAAGACAGUUCGGUCCCUAUCUGUGGUGGGCGCUAGUAAAUUGAGAGGACGUGACCUUAGUACGAGAGGACCGGGUCGCAUGUACCGCUGGUGUAUCUGUUGUGGUGCCAACUGCAAUGCAGAGUAGCUAUGUACAGCCAGGAUAAACGCUGAAAGCAUCUAAGCGUGAAACCUUCCUCAAGAUGAGUUUACUUUUAAGGGUCGUAAGAGACUAUUACGUUGAUAGGCUACAGGUGUACAGUUAGCAAUAACAAAGCCGAGUAGUACUAAUUGCCCGUAAGCUUUAAUUU
This 1227-nucleotide ribosomal RNA is filed under the name metagenome. Its description in RNAcentral is "bacterial LSU rRNA". It matches the Rfam family "Bacterial large subunit ribosomal RNA", at positions 1663 to 2925 of the family's 2925-position model. The record is from RNAcentral.